AGCUGCGCUUGACCAAUGUGUCAUUGGCAACAAUGGACUUCAUGUUGUUUCCUUAGGAUGAUCCUUAGGAAUGAAUGAAUGAGAAAUAGCUGAUUCUUAGGGUAGAUCCUUAAGAAUAAAGAAGAUAAUGGGGAUGGGUAAUUGGGUUGAUUGUUUGAUUGUUUAAACAUAAUAAUUAUAUUAUUGUGGGUUGAAAACCCUAUGUACUCACCAGGUUUCCCAACCUGACCCACUCAGUUUAUUUAUAUCACAGGUGUUGAUAUGAAGUGACAUUACACUGAGAGAUUUAAAGAGAUGUAGAUCACUAGUGUAAAUAAUUGUAAGUUCUGUUUAUGCUUAUGUUUCUGUAUUAACGAUGACAUCCCAAACGUUUUAAAAUGAAAUAAAUACGUUUCUUCGAAAAUGUUUUAAUAACGUAUUUACCAUGUUUUUCUGGGAACAAAUUCCGCAACAUUUUUAUAAAAUGAAGUACUCUGAUUUUUAUAAAGCAUAAACAACAUCGGUCUUUUCUGGCCGUGAAAAUGGGGAUGUCACAGUUGGUAUCAGAGCAUUAGUUUAAGCGAACUAGGAAUAUGGAUUUAUUUCUAGACUUAAACUUAGAAUGCUAAGCGAUGAUUGUGAGGUGUGAGCACUAGCUUAUUUUAGGAAUUGUGCCUAAAAUGCUUUUAUGUGCUAAAUGCUUGUGCCUGAUAUGCUGUUAUUUGUUCGGAUCUAUGGUUUGUUGCCGACCGGAUCUGGAAACCUUAUGUGUUUAGGAUUCUAAGCGUUUAACUACGAUAUUAGAACUAGCAUAUAAACGUUUCGGAGUGAUAAGAAUGAUUUAAACGUCAAUCCUAAGUAAAGGUCUAGAUUCACCUUAUUCGGCGUAUAGAUCAAGAUGGCAAGAACCCGUAGCGGAAACGUGAAUGCAAAUGGGAACCGAGAUCAACCCCCAGCGAUUGAGCAAAUACCGGUUGUGGUAGCCGCUGCUGAGCCAAUAACGAUGGCAGGAGUGCAAGCGAUGAUCCAAGCAAUGUUGGAUCGUCAAAUGGAGGAAACCAGACGUUUGCUCCAGCAAAAUCGAGAGGAAGCGACUAUUCAGAUCGAACAGCCCAAGUUGAACGAAGGGCAGACUGAGGAAGGAAACUACAGUGGGACUGUUGGUCAAGUCAACCCACCAAUAGUUCGACAAAACAACCAAGAUGACGAAGUCGAGAGGAAUGGAUGCAAGUACAAGGAUUUUCUGACUUGCAAGCCAUCGACUUUCACUGGAAAGGAGGAUCCGAUCGGGGUCAUGGAUUGGAUCUCGGAGAUGGAAUUAGCUUUCAUGACGUGCGGUUGCAAGGGAAAACAACAGACCACGUUUGCAGUGCGUCAGUUUCGAGGAGGUGUUGUACGAUGGUGGAAUACCUUGGGAAAGACGCUGAGCCCCAAUGAGCCCCUGCAACUGACAUGGGUAGAAUUUCUGGUGCAUUUCAAACGUAGGUACUGCUCAGCCCAAAAUCUGCUCGAGCUAGAAAACCAAUUCCUUACCUUAAAGAAAGGAAGCAUGUCUAUUGAUGAAUACACCAACAACUUCACAGAGAAGAUGGAGUUCGCCUUACGUCUUGUUCCGGAUGAGCUGACAAAAAUUGACAAGUACGCAAAAGGACUUCCAUGGGAAUAUGCAGUGCCAGUGCGUCAGGCACCUACUUUGGAGGCAGCUAUCUGGGCUGCCAAGUCGGUUGAGGAGAUGAUCAAGGGAAGAGCCGCCAACAAGACCGAGGUUGGCGAAAAGAGGAAGUUUGAGGGGUCUGCGAAGCCCGAUGAGAGAAGCAAAUCAAGUACCAGGAAGUUUAGAGGAGGAGGGAGUGAAGAAAGAUGGUGCGAGAAGUGCAAAAAGAAACACUCUGGAAAAUGCAGUGAGGAAGUAACUUGUUUCAAGUGUGGGAAGCAUGGGCAUUAUGCCAACGAGUGUAAAUUCAAUAAAAGGGUGUGUUACGAAUGUAAUGAGGAAGGACACUUCAAGCAAGAUUGCCCAAAGAGAGAGGGGGCUACAAAGCCAAAUGUGCCGCCAAAGCCAAAGGCGAGAGCAUUUCAAAUGAUCCUUGACGAAGCAGAUGACAAUGCGAGGAUUCAGGAGUGACAACUUGACAUCCAAAGAUCGAGUUAUGAGGUAGCCAUAGAAUCGUAUGAUGUAGCCUGUUAGAGGCAUAUUCUAGGGUGAACUUGAACACCUAUGUAAUAGUUUCAAGGAAUAAUAAAAACCUUCGUUUUGAUAUCUGAUGUGUUAAGCUGUUAUAUGAUUUUCUUGUGUGGUGACUUGGAAAACUGUGGGACAAUACCUGAGACGAGUAUGAGUAGGUGUGAAUGGUAGUAGAGGCCUAUACUACCGGAAGCACAGGACUCACACUUGGAUCAGGGAAAGUCACAAGGUUACCAAGAAGCUAGUAAUUGAUUUCGUUUUAUUCAAGUGUGUUGUUACCAUCGUUUCGGUAAUGACUAAGAAGAUUGUUGAUAUUCCGACCCUAGUGGUCAUAUCGAAUCGAGUCCGACUACGAUGAGUAUGUUGUGUGGUUCAGAGAACCAAGUUUGAUGUAGCGUCCGACUUAAACCAAACGGUUGAAAUCAAAGCGAUCAAUAGAAGUAUCGCACUCGUUGUUAAAGAAGUUGGUGGCUAGAAAUGCCUAAUGUUAAAGUGUGAUUAUAUCACAUUAGAACAUGAAGGAAGGCAUAGUCUGUUUUAGAAUUUAACUCUAAGAGACCUAAGUCUAAGUGUUGCAACAUACGAUGAUAGGUCAUUAGAAUAUGACACAUCGAUCUAUAGUAGUAAUAAAAGAACUUAUCUCAAGUCCGUAUCCAGCAAGGAUCGAGAUUGUGACUUGAAGGUCAUAAUUUGGAGUCUAACCUGAGGUAGAGAGCAGGUGCACGAUCGAGUACUCUUACAGUCAAUGAGUUUAAGAGAUAGAAUUGAAGGAAUGUAGAAGUUAUAAUUAUUACCUAGGAUGAAGAGAUGACGUAUGGAGUCAUUAUACGACCCUGUUUCGUUGAUGAUUCCGGGACGUAAUCAUCCUAAGGGGGAGAUAAUUGUAACGCCCGCAAAUCUGGGCUAGUCAAAUUAGAGGCAAUAGGGGUCGAAAACGACUUUUCGACAAAAGAUUAUUUAGAAUAAAUAAUCUUAAUCAAGUUGUAGAGUAUGUUACAAGGUUUUCGUACAUAUAAAGAACGCCGAAAACCGAGUUAUAACGAAGAAGUUAUGACCCGUUGAAGUUUCGCGACGGAACCGGCACGAUACCGGGAAGCGUAAAUAGUGAAUUUACGAUAGAGCGAGAUUUAGCCUUAGCGAUCUAAACGAAAGUCGUAGAAUAUGUUAAACUAAGAACAUCGAUAAAAAGAACGCCCAAAUCUGACUUCGUAUGAGGAAGUUAUGAUUUUUCUAAGAUUUAGCAUAGCAGUGCACAGCCCGAAAUCUGAAUUUUAGAUCGGUCGAUUUUUAGCCGACGGGAUCUAAAUGAAAGUUGUAGUACUCGUAAAUACCAACGCGUGGAUAUAAAGAACGUCGAUAAUAGAGCUCGUAUGCAAAAGUUAUGGACGAAGCUUAGUCCCUACUUUUCGAGCGCGGCGAAUUCGAUACAGUUUUGUAAAUACGAGAUAGAAUGAGAAUUAGCCAACGAGGUCUAAAUGAGAGUUGAAGAUCUCAUUAAUAGGAACUCAACGGUAAAAAGACAGACAAAAAUGGAGCUCGUAUGCGAAAGUUAUGGACGAAGCUUAGUCCCUACUUUUCGAGCGCGGCGAAUUUGAUACAGUUUUGUAAAUCCGAGAUAGAAUGAGAAUUAGCCAACGAGGUCUAAAUGAAAGUUGAAGAUCUCAUUAAUAGGAACUCAACAGUAAAAAGACAGACAAAAACGGAGCUCGUAUGCAAAAGUUACGGACGAAGCUUGGAGACUACUUUACUAUACACUUCCUAUAAAUACAAGGGUGAACUCCUCAUAUUUUCUUCACACCAUAAGCCUUUCUUUCUCUCUCUAACUUCUCUCUAGCCUCCCUAAACCCCUCCCAAGUCUACGGAACCUCCCUAGCACGAGAAGAAAGCCCCGGAGCGCCCGACGGCUCCGAGAAGAAAAGCUUUCGGCUUGGAAACGCUGCUCCAGCGAAGCCCGGUUUUUAAUAAAAACUCGCUGUAAGUGAGCUACGCCUAUACUAUAUUUAAUAUAGAUUUUAUUUAAUUAUAGUAACAUUAUUAGGACCUUAAAAUAAUUAUUUGGGCUAUUAUUAUGAGUUAUAUUGAGUGUUAUUUAACGCUUAUAUAAUAGUAAUAAUAGCUAGACUAUUAAUUAGUCGUGGUUAACGUUAAAAACUAAACCCUAGUGGUAUUGAUACUAGGUUUUGUCGAGGAAAAUUGUUUUGAGAUAACGAAGUGCUGUCUGAGUUCGGAAUCACCACCUAAUCAGGUGAGUGCAUGGUCUCUUUCAUCUUACACAUAGAUAUGAAGUAUUUUAAUAUAAAUUACGUGUUAUGUGUGCAUAUUGUCUGAAUACUUGUUGUCUAUGCUGGUGAAAGAUUUUUAUACAUGUUUUAAAUGAUGUAAACUGUAUAAAGUAUUUUAUAUCUACAAAAUAUGUUGGGUAAAACAUGGGUAGAUGAAUGAUGAUGGAUAAAAGCUGAAAUAGAGGAACAUUAGUAGUACGGACCUAGUGCCCUAUAGGUAUACAUUGGCAGCAGUGGACCUAGUACCCUAUAGAUGAGCACUGGCAGCUGCGCCACAACCCGUAGAUGAUUUAGAUCUACGGUAAACGUCCUAGCAGCUGCGCUCUAAGGAUAGUAUCGGCAGUUGCGCCUAAUAGGGAGCCUUAUGACCAUGACAGUAGUGUUUAAAGGUCAAUACCGGCAGAAGCGCCUCAUAGAAAAUGUCCUAAUUCUGGCAGCUGAGCCUAAGUGACAAUAUUAGCAGCUGCGCUUGACCAAUGUGUCAUUGGCAACAAUGGACUUCAUGUUGUUUCCUUAGGAUGAUCCUUAGGAAUGAAUGAAUGAGAAAUAGCUGAUUCUUAGGGUAGAUCCUUAAGAAUAAAGAAGAUAAUGGGGAUGGGUAAUUGGGUUGAUUGUUUGAUUGUUUAAACAUAAUAAUUAUAUUAUUGUGGGUUGAAAACCCUAUGUACUCACCAGGUUUCCCAACCUGACCCACUCAGUUUAUUUAUAUCACAGGUGUUGAUAUGAAGUGACAUUACACUGAGAGAUUUAAAGAGAUGUAGAUCACUAGUGUAAAUAAUUGUAAGUUCUGUUUAUGCUUAUGUUUAUGUAUUAACGAUGACAUCCCAAACGUUUUAAAAUGAAAUAAAUACGUUUCUUCGAAAAUGUUUUAAUAACGUAUUUACCAUGUUUUUCUGGGAACAAAUUCCGCAAC
This 5359-nucleotide long non-coding RNA is filed under the name Lactuca sativa (garden lettuce). RNAcentral's name for it is "long non-coding RNA (LSAT_LNC009881)". Lineage: Eukaryota; Viridiplantae; Streptophyta; Magnoliopsida; Asterales; Asteraceae. The record is from RNAcentral.